Molecule: long non-coding RNA, 254 nt
Filed under: Manihot esculenta (cassava)
Lineage: Eukaryota; Viridiplantae; Streptophyta; Magnoliopsida; Malpighiales; Euphorbiaceae
Description: long non-coding RNA (MESC_LNC006314)
Source: RNAcentral
CAAUCUCCGCGAUUAACUGAAAACAGUUAUUCGUAUCGUGCCCAUGGCUCCGGUGGUACUGACAAUACUUGUCAGGAUUUCUUUGAUCUGCUUCCGACUUCAUGGGUUUGGGCCACUGGAGGAACUCCUUAUCCUGGACUGCCAUGAGCACUUCGGCUCUGGAAGCGUUGAGGGGGGUUGGUUUCUCGGGAACCCAAGGAGGGAGCACUCUUGGUUCAAGAGCCCGAGGAGGAGGAGGAGGCCUUUGAUCCCUU